This 353-nucleotide transfer-messenger RNA is filed under the name Coriobacteriia. Its description in RNAcentral is "JAGXSC01 sp018334075 Standard tmRNA". It matches the Rfam family "transfer-messenger RNA". From Rfam's summary of the family: Bacterial tmRNA, also known as 10Sa RNA or SsrA, is named for its dual tRNA and mRNA-like properties. Its role is to liberate the mRNA from a stalled ribosome. RNAcentral also lists the same sequence under 1 other name. The record is from RNAcentral. Lineage: Bacteria; Bacillati; Actinomycetota.
GGGGGCGACUGGUUUCGACACGAUAGGCUUGACGGAAGAAGCAGGCCGAGAUCUCCUCGUCUCGUAAAACAGGGGUACCGACGCAUAAACGUCGACAAUGAUUACGCCCUCGCUGCCUAAAUAGUGCAGCGACGCCGACCCGAUGAGCGUCCCCGUCAUCGGUAAGGCGCCACUUAGGGGACUGCUGCAGCACACGUAGGCGGUAUGGUGUUGCUUAUAGCCUGAACCGCCAUGGACGACGCACCGCGUGUCAUCAGGUAAUGCGCCGGCCGAGAACUCACUGAUGACUGAGCCUGGAGAUGCUUCCCGAUCGUGUAUCGUGGACCGGAGUUCGAUUCUCCGCGCCUCCACCA